GACGAACGCUGGCGGCGUGCUUAACACAUGCAAGUCGAACGGAAAGGCCCUGCUUUUGUGGGGUGCUCGAGUGGCGAACGGGUGAGUAACACGUGAGUAACCUGCCCUUGACUUUGGGAUAACUUCAGGAAACUGGGGCUAAUACCGGAUAGGAGCUCCUGCUGCAUGGUGGGGGUUGGAAAGUUUCGGCGGUUGGGGAUGGACUCGCGGCUUAUCAGCUUGUUUGUGGGGUAGUGGCUUACCAAGGCUUUGACGGGUAGCCGGCCUGAGAGGGUGACCGGCCACAUUGGGACUGAGAUACGGCCCAGACUCCUACGGGAGGCAGCAGUGGGGAAUAUUGCACAAUGGGCGGAAGCCUGAUGCAGCAACGCCGCGUGCGGGAUGACGGCCUUCGGGUUGUAAACCGCUUUCGCCUGUGACGAAGCGUGAGUGACGGUAAUGAGUAAAGAAGCACCGGCUAACUACGUG
Molecule: ribosomal RNA, 468 nt
Filed under: uncultured bacterium
Lineage: Bacteria
Description: partial 16S ribosomal RNA
Rfam family: Bacterial small subunit ribosomal RNA
Source: RNAcentral